GGAAACAGCCCUGCCACGAGGA
RNAcentral lists this non-coding RNA (22 nucleotides) under Rattus norvegicus (Norway rat). The record is from RNAcentral. Lineage: Eukaryota; Metazoa; Chordata; Mammalia; Rodentia; Muridae.